Molecule: ribosomal RNA, 278 nt
Filed under: uncultured Glomus
Lineage: Eukaryota; Fungi; Glomeromycota; Glomeromycetes; Glomerales; Glomeraceae
Description: partial 18S ribosomal RNA
Rfam family: Eukaryotic small subunit ribosomal RNA
Source: RNAcentral
UUGGAGGGCAAUCUGGUGCCCGCAGCCGCGGUAAUUCCAGCUCCAAUAGCGUAUAUUAAAGUUGUUGCAGUUAAAAAGCUCGUAGUUGAAUUUCGGGGUUAGUAGGUUGGUCAUGCCUCUGGUAUGUACUGGUCUCACUGAUUCCUCCUUCCUUAUGAACCGUAAUGCCAUUAAUUUGGUGUUGCGGGGAAUUUGGACUGUUACUUUGAAAAAAUUGAGUGUUUAAAGCAAGCUAACGCUUGAAUACAUUAGCAUGGAAUAAUGAAAUAGGACGUUCG